CAGACCCGGAAGUUCGUCACAACUCUCUGCUAGGUGGCCCGAUGGGUCUCUGAGGAGCCGAGACGCCGGAGGAGUUACAGGAGGUUGGGACCGCGUCUCUCUUGAUUACCACCAUCUCCAGCAUCGAGCACAGAACAGCAUGUAAUGGGAGCUGAAUGAAUGAAUGACUGGAAAGCAUCAGGAUGGUCCUCUAAUGCCUCUGGGAACCAGGCUGGGGCAUCACCAGGAAGGAGGACUCAAAUGCCUUCGCCAGGGAGCAGUACCUUUCACUGCGUGGCAACAGAGAAGCUUGUGGCAGAGUAAAGAGAGCCAGGCCUCUGCAAUGGGCAGCCUGUGGGACUCUCAGCAAUCACCCGGCCAUGGGUAAUUACCUACCCUCGCUGCACUUCCGUUUCCUCACCUGCCGACCGGGACCCCCGUCUCCACAAGAGAGGGCUGCAGAGCCCAGAGAGGGGAGGAUCCGACUCUUUGAUCUCUGCUGGAUCUCCGGCACCCGGCACAGUGCCUGGCUGGGUGUAGAUAGUAGUUUUUGAAUGAACAAGUGCAGAGUGUGUCCAGGGAUUAACAUUGUGAAAAUGGGCCUGGUCCAUUGUAGGUGUUUGAUAAAGAAUUCAGAUGUGGUAUUUGAUGAUGUCUUGUCUAUUGAACGACCGCAGGACUGCCUGGCACGUUGCAGCAAACGACCAUCAACUUGAGGGCCGCCGUGCCUCCACCAAAGUGCCAAUAUUUCCGUGGAAAAUCCCGGGAGACUUCAAAUGCAGGAUUCUUGUAACAAGACCAGAGCUGGAAGAUUUCCUGAAGUGGGGGAAAGAAAAGCGCUCCCUGCCUGGCUGGAAUUGCUGUGUGUAUGAUGCCCUGCAGAGAGAGAGAAGAGAGCAGGCUGGAUGCCUUCCAAAAAUCAGAAGGGAAGCUGAUUCCUACUUGGGAGGGUGUUAAAAUCUUAAGGGCAAGGCCAACAGACCGAGGGGAGAAAGUGAAGGAGAGAGAGAAAUGUGUGAGCAUCUUUUCCAUUUUUUUUUUUUUUCUGUUUUCUUACAGCCAAAUGCCUGGAAACCUGCGGCAUCCGGCAAUUCCCUGGCCGCGGCGUAUAGUAAGCACUCAGGAAAUAGUUGAGCCACUUGGAGCUUUAUGAUGUUUUAGGACUCCUCAAGUGCAUGCGUUUAUGACAGAAUAGUUCCUGUAAGGAGAAUGUCGGUGCUCCUACCCGAGGUCUUGCAUGAGGGCGCGUCACGAGGGGGAGGACGUUUGUCUGCUCUGCUCACCAUUGCAGCCCAGCACGGGGCACAGCGCCUGGCACAGAGAAGUGCCGGACAGCGACUGUGGAUAAUGGGGGCCGCGCCAUGUGGCACGAACCUCGUGGCGAGAUGACCGUGGAGCCGAGGCUUCUGGUUCCAGAAUAUCAAGCCGGCGCAGAGAUCUCUGGGACCCUAAUGAAGCAGGCAGAUGGUGAAAUCCUGCACAUUCAUACCCGGGGCCUACCGUGUGCCAGACCCUGCCCAGGUACUGGGUACCCGGCCAGUGGCCAAAGCAGGAAUGUUCUGCCCUCAUGGAGCUUCCCGAUCCACGGAGGACGUUGAGAGUGAGCAAAGCAGAGCUGAUAAUCACAGCUGGGAUAGUGCCACAGAGGAAGUGGUCAAGCGCGUGGCUUUGCCAGAGAGGAGCUCCUGUCGGAAGAGGAAAUACCACCCUGCCCGUGCUUUCGUUCCAGCCCAUUCUCACUCUGUCUGGGAAAAUCACAAGGAAACUCCACGUUUUGCUCCUGGAAUUCUUGCCAGCGUGAUUCAAGCCGAAUGGAGCACAUGGCACCGAGUUCCCACACAAACAAAGACGUUGCCACUUUCAGCGCGGUGGCUUUCUUCCUUCUGCCGGCCCGGGCCCCCCGUCUUGCCCAGGCAAGAGGGGCAGAGUGCAUGCGGCCCGGUUCUCACCUACAAGGCCCCCCAUGUGUUCUCAUCUGGAAAAUGGAGAUGGUCACAGCACAAGAUGAUUAGAGGAUUAAGGGAGAUACAGUGAAAGUGCCGUGCAGCGCUCGGUAGACAGUGGGCACUCAAUAACUGCUGGCCACGAUGCUGAUGCCCUGUGUCGGUGUUAGCACAUGUUCUCGGAGCUCAGGCCUUCGCGGGGCCGUGCGUUCCUCGGCUAUAAGCCCCGUGACCGUGAAAUCAAUCACUUUCGUGCUCGGCGCUCCCAGGCGCUGCGUGUGAGAGCAGGAUUGCGUGGAGGCUCCCGUCCAAAUCCAGUGUCGAGAAAUGGAACAGGGAGCUGGGCGGACACAUCGAUUAGGCACAUUCCUGGCUCGAGUGUGGCUCUCUCCAGUCCCCUCCCUGCAGGCUGGCGAGCAAAAUUCAGGUGCUGACCUCCUGAGAAUACCCCUUAGGCUGAAACCUAUCACCCCCUUUGUCAGAGAUUAUGUGAUCUCCAGGGAAGAAGAGGUGUGGCAUCUCACCUCUGCCACUUCUGAACUGAGCGACUUGGUACAGAGGACUCUCCCGUGCCUAUGAUGCCUUCGUCUACGAAUGGGGUUGAUAACUGCCCUCCACGAAGGAUGUCAGCGGGGCUCGGCACCGACUCGAGUGUCAGGGGCUUGGCCGCGGUCUGUGCUUAAGAGCAGCUGCCCCUUCACCAGUGAUGCUGCUGUCCCCAAAUCUCUAAAUUUUAACUAGGGUCCCCCUUGUGAAGGCCUGGGUUAUCCCCACUGGAAACCUGUUUUGGGAACUAGCCCCCCUGCAUGUCACCGAGGGAAAUGGGCGUCAAAACUGAUGGCCCCUAGGUGGGGGGAGACCUGGCCCAGACCUUGUCACAGGAUGAGCACCUCUGGGAUGAGAGGCCAAGUGGCCUAAUGGGCCGGAGACUCAGACUGGCUGGAUUUGAGCAGUGUUUCCACGCUCACUCCCAGUGGGGCCUUGACAAGUUCCUUAACUGUUCUGAGCCUCGGUUUCUUCACCUGAAAAAUGGGUGUGAUGAUAUCCCUCUUUGUGAGACCAGAGAAUUAAUGGCAGCUUAUUAAUUAUAUUCUAAGGCACUAUUCUAAGCCGCCCUGUGAUGUCAUCACAUCUAUAAAUAGCCUCACCUGACAGUUGGAGAAACUGAGGCACAGAGCGGUCACUAACUUGCUCAGGGCCACUCGUUCAUCCCAUUUCCUGGCGCGGUCCCUGCUCCUUCCUCUACUCUCCUCACAUUUCCCCAAACUCGCCGGGCGAACCCACGCCUCUUGGCCUCUGUGUUCCUUCUGCCUGCAGUGACUGUUUCCCCACCUCUGCCUGACUCAGUCUGGUGUGUCCUUCAAGGCCCAGCUCAAGUGUCUCCUCCUCCAGGAAGCCCUCCUGCCAGGGCACUAGAGACUCGGCUUCCUAAAGCAGUUCAUCUACGCGGCUACUUGUCAAGAUCUUCAAGGGUAAUGUUAACUACGACCACCAAGUGGCAAAGCCCGCCCAGUGCCUGCCUGGUGCCGGGCACUGUUCUAAGCGGUUCAGGCGCACGGACGUCUCAGAUCUCUGCACAAUCAGGAGGAAGAUGAUACUACUGCUCGCUGCUUCCGGGGCCUUUGCUACCUCUGCUGAGUUCCCGGCCCUCUCUUCUUCCUCGCCCCUGGCUCCCCCUGCCCACUCCACAAAUUGUCCUGGCUACGCGGGGGCACGUGGCUUCCUCGGUAUAAGCCAGAGCUCCAUGGGGAUCAAGCUCCCUGCCUCCCCACCCACCCCGUGACAUCGGCCUGCCUCGGGUCCUUACCCCCCCCCCCACGCACCCUCUGAGGCCUGGCUGGAGUCUCGACUCUGCCAGAAAGUUCUGUCUGAACUCUCGUGGCACUCGGAGUCCAAACCACCUGCUUUACUCUGUGGCGGACCAAUGGUCGCCAGCAUGCGUGUGCGUGUGCACGUAUGAGCACGUGUGUGUCCAUGAGUGUGCGUGUGCGUGCACGCUCCUGUGAUCACGUUCUUUCCAUACUUAGAUUAUAAACCAUUUGAAUACAGGGAUCAAGUCUCCCUCUGCCUCUCAGCCUCCAUAGAACACUGAUCUAACUAUAAGAUUCUCCUUACACACUUCGUUCAUCCAAAAAAAAAAAUCAAUAAUAAGCCUAUAUUAAACACAGUCCACCGUGUGCCAGGUACUGUGACCAGCACCGGGGUGUUGGCCUAGACUGUGAUUGACUAUCGAUGGGAGGGCAAACGUGGAAAAAGAAUUUAAGGAAAAACCCAAUCGAUCCGGGGCAGUUCAUCAUUUGGCGCUCAAAACUCCACAACCCAACUUUUGACCUAACAUACGAGGUGACGUCAAUUACAAAUAACAUUCACCUUGACAUGUAAAUACAGGUUCUAUAGGCUUAACAUCUUCUGACUAGUGGGUGUGUUUGGAGGGAUCUAUUUUUAAGUUUGUAUCUUCACAACCUGAUAAUCGAAAAGAAUAAUGAUCAUAGUGGCCAAAUUAUUGAGCUUUUAAAAUAGGCUCUACCUACAACGAGCUCAGGGUCCGGAACACUCUCAGGGUAGGCCCUCUCAUACCGACUUCUCUGAAGGAGAAACAGAGGCUCAAAGUUUAAGUCAGCUGUGAAAAGGGCAGGCCGGGCGGCCGGAAUCGCCAGCCGGGUCCGAAAAGUGUCUGUUCUUUACAGGUUUCUAUGUCUAUGCUUCUGACGUUCUCAAAUUAUAGAGAAAGAAAGAAAUGUUUUGACCUUGUGCUAAUACGUUUUCCGUAAGGUCAGAAAUAAAUAAGUGAAAAUUAAUCUGACAAUCUGUAAGCAGGCUGAAAAAUACCACUUCACUUUCCCCUUG
Molecule: RNA transcript, 4769 nt
Organism: Lynx canadensis (Canada lynx)
Lineage: Eukaryota; Metazoa; Chordata; Mammalia; Carnivora; Felidae
Exons: 14
Source: RefSeq, a predicted model, not a curated record